GCAACAAGAUUGAUUGAUUCCCCCCCUUGAUACCUCAGGACCAGAACCACUAACAGACGCUGUAGAGAAGCUCACUGUGCACAUUUUGAUCCACAUCAUGUACAUCAGUGUAGCACAUUCACAAACUAAGGGAUUAGGAUAUUGUUGAGCUGAAUGCCACCGAAAGCAUUUGCACUUACAAAAAAUAUAAUGAUCUAUGUUUAAUAAAGCAACCCAUGACUUGCAUAAACUGGGGCUGAAAAUUUAGGAUUGUGAAAUACUAGAAUAUCCUGAAUUGAAAGGGUCCCACACAAGGGUCAUCCAGUCCAACUCCUGGCCCUUCACAGCACUAUCCCCAAGAGUUACACCAUGUGCCUGAGAGUGUUGUCCAGAAGCUUCUUGAGCUCUGUCAGGUUUGGUGUUGUGACCACUUCCCUGGGGAGCGGCUCCAGUGCCCAGCCACCCUCUGAAUGAUGAACCUUUUUCUAAUAUCCAACCUAAACCUCCUCUGACACAACUUCAGGCCAUUCCCUAGGUUCCUGUCACUGUCAUCACAGAGAAGUGUCUGCCCCUCCUCUUCCCCUCAUGGGGAAGUUGUAACUGCAGUGAGGUCUCCCCUCAGUCUCUACUUCUCCAGGCUGACCAGACCAAGUGACCUCAGCCACUCCUCACAGCUUCCCCUGAAGGCCCUUUCCCAUCUUUGCUGCCCUCCUUUGGACAUUCUCUAAUAGUUUAAUGUCUUCCUUUUAUUGUGGUGCCCAAAACUGCCCCCAGGACAUGAGGUGAGGCCACCCCAGUGCAGAGCAGAGCUGGAGAAUCCCCUCCCUUGCCCAGGUGGUGAUGUUGUGCCUGAAGACCCCAGGACAGGGAUGUCCUUCCUGGCUGCCAGGGCACUGCUGACUAGGAGCCCACUGCCUGAAUUCAAACCUUUCUGUUCUUGAUCUGCUCAGCAGAGUGAAGAGUCACACUCUCUGUGUAAGAGGUGAAAAGCAUCUGUAGCACAUUGCAAGACUAUUCUGUCUGUACAGUUGGCUGUUUCCAAAGGAGAAAAAUCACCACAGCAAGUCUUGGGCUGCCUUUACCUCUACACACUUUGGGACUCUAAGCCUUGAUGACCUCCUGGAGUUACAGGUGGGACAGCUGCUGAGUCUCAGUCCAGGCAUGGGGCCAGUUUACAGCAGCCUUGCAGAGUGUCUGAGAUUCUACAGCUCUGUGUCUUCUACUGCUCUGUUUGAGAUGGUUCUGCCUGCGCUGGUUCUACAGGAAACAUUUCCAAGCCCAGUUAAUGUGAAAGCCCAGAGAUGCUCUCAUCUCUGAGAGGCAAAGUAUUAAUGUGGCCAAACUUCUGCUUUGCAAUAGU
RNAcentral lists this long non-coding RNA (1339 nucleotides) under Taeniopygia guttata (zebra finch). Its description in RNAcentral is "lncRNA (ENSTGUG00000019898.1)". The record is from RNAcentral. Lineage: Eukaryota; Metazoa; Chordata; Aves; Passeriformes; Estrildidae.